Molecule: non-coding RNA, 5143 nt
Organism: Rattus norvegicus (Norway rat)
Lineage: Eukaryota; Metazoa; Chordata; Mammalia; Rodentia; Muridae
Source: RefSeq, a predicted model, not a curated record
ACACUUCUCCUUUUGGUUCUUUACUAGGAAGGAGCAGCACCUCUCUGCCAGGCCUGCACAGUGCUGGGGAGCUGUCUGCUGUGUCCUAGCCUGUGUUGGAAGGAGUAAUGGCUGACUGGAAUGAACUACAAUCCAGAAUUGGAGGGCUCACCUGGGAUCCAGAUCUUGAGGCUGGAAGACACAAGUUUCUGACCUGGAUCUUGGCCUGGAGAUCCUGAGGCACGGUGGCCAUGGAAGGCUUAGGUCCAGGCAUGGUGAUAUGCACCUUUAAUCCCAGGAGACUGAGGCAAGCAGAACUCUGAGUUCAAGGUCAGCCUGGGACAAAGCAAGUCCUAGAUCCAGGCAUGGUGGUGCAUCUUUAAUCCCGGUCACCCCUUCUGCUGGAGGCCUACAUAAGGACAUUGGAAGAAGGAAGAUUCGCGCUUCUCGCCUGCUUGCACUUACUCGCCAGCACAUCUGUUGGAAUCUACUUCUACAGAAGACCAGCUGAAACAACCAGCCUCGUGGGACUGAGCAACUUCUAGAUCCCUGGGCUUCCCAUUCACAGCUGCCCAUUGUUGGGGAGUUGGACUACAGACUGAUGGAAUUAAAAAGCAUCGGCUUCUCGGUUUCCUUUGAAAACCGCAAGCCCCUGAGAAAAAGGGCAGGGAGGCCCAGUAACUGCAAGAACAGGAGCUGUGGAGUACCGGAAGUGACCUACAAGGAUGUGGGAGUCCAGAACAGAGCACGAGUUUGGGGAAACUCUGCAUGCUUCCCACAAGCUGGGCAGUGCUUGAACCCAUGGGCAGAGCUCCACGGUUCUGCCGGUUAUGGGUGAGUGUUAGGGGGUUGAAAGGUUGGAAGAAAGAAGAACCCACAAAGUAGCAAAGAUGAGCUACAGCCGGCCUUAGCAGCAAGCUCUACCCACCCUGACAGCCCAGGACUGACUGGUUCUUUCAUGUUGAGGAAAACUCCCUUCAGGCCUGGAGUUUUAAUCAGAACGAGACACCCCUCCCCCCCCCAUCCCUUGUCACCUGAUCACUCAUUCCAAUAGAAGUCAUAACUGGCUUCUGUUGUCACGAAUAGGGUUGUGUGUGGUAAGUACUCCCCAGAGUAUGCUUAUUGUCUGGCCCAAAAUGCUGGGUGCACGCAUUGAGUACUCCCUGUAUACCAGGCUAUACCAGGGCUGUAAAUUCCAUAGACCCUGAGGAAACCAGAAGCCAAGGGGGUUCACGUCCCAUGACCUUUCGCCUUCUACGUCAGAGCUUCUGAUACUGCCUCCUUGUCCUUCCUUCCCUGCUGUCCAGCAAGACACUGGACCUGUUGUGACAGCCACCCACACAUGACUAGUGAGUGCUCAAAAAUGUGUCCAGGACCACUUGGCAAUCAAGGCUGCAUUUUAAUCUACUCUAAUCGACGUGUCAGCAUGUGGGUAGUAACUGCAGUGUCGGAUGGCCCAACUCACUGAGAACCUGUCCUGAGCUCUGCCUGUGACGCUGUCACAUCUCUCCCUGCCACCACCUCUGCAGUCCGAAUGUCACUGCUGUGGUGUGACUGAGCACGUCCUGGUUUACAGCAGCUCCCGCCAUGGGUUCGAGCCCACAUGAGCAUCGCUUCCAACUCUUCAGGGACCUCCAUGUGAGGGCUGAGAGCCCUUUUGGAAGUCUUUAUGCCAGGGGAAUGAAUGGUCAUUGCUCUCCAAAGUUUCUUCUGCUCAGACAAGCACAUGCUAAAAACUCACCAGCAACAGAGCCAAGACUUGCUGAGGACAGUACUAGUGGAUAUUCCUUAAGUUUUGCUCACUUAGCACCUCCUGGGUCUCCCCUAGCCCGGAGCCAUGCUCUACCGAGCACCCCUACACCCAGCUCCUCUACUCCUGUAGGACCCUGCAGCUUCUGGGGUUUCUGUCUGAUGUCUGUGUUUGUAUCUGUCUUCUCCGUUAAGCUUAGAACCCCUACAGGGCAGAUAGUUUCUCUGUCCUUGUGGACUGAAUCCACAGGACCCACUGCACAGUGGGCAUCCCAUAAGCAUGCACAGGAGCCAACACGACACACACUAGGUGCUCCUUCGGACCCACUGCACAGUGGGCAUCCCAUAAGCAUGCACAGGAGCCAACACGACACACACUAGGUGCUCCUUAGGACCCACUGCACAGUGGGCAUCCCAUAAGCAUGCACAGGAGCCAACACGACACACACUAGGUGCUCCUUAGGACCAUGUAGAAAUAAGUACCACACACAGUGGGUCCUCCAUGAGAGUGCAUGUAAGCUGGGGCUGGGGAGAUGGCGCAGUAGUUAAGAGCACAGGCUGCUUUUGCAGAGGACCUGGGUUCAGUCCCCAGCAACCCACACAGUGUCUCACGACGUUCUGUAACUCCAGUUCCGGGGGGAUCAGAUGCCUUCUUGGGUCCGAGGCAUAUGUGUGGUAUACAUACACACAGGCAAAACACUCAUGCACGAAAAAUAAAAAUAAAAUAUUCUUAAAGAAUGAGGUGGAUUAAAAAUAAAUACAUUUAAACAGGCGCAGCACACAGUGGGUGCUCCAGUAGGAUAUGUAAAAGAAACACGAAAACUUAGUGGAAAGAUGGUGGGGCUAGAGACCUAACCCUAGACUCCGGAGUUUGACUCUUCUUGUGGUUCUAAUGAGAUGUGUGACAUGAGACGCAUCCCCCUGGACUCGGCGUCCUUGUAUGUUAGUUCCACAGGCAUUCUCUCUCUUUCCUGCUCACCUCGUGAAGAUACCGAAAGUGAAAAUAAGACACCGUGUGGCUUUAGAAGGUUAUUCUCAUGAACAAACGGCUCUGAAAAUCUGGAACAUUGAGUUCUUUUGGGCCUUUGGCCAUUUUGUACAUGAGCAGCACCACUUGUGUAUAGGAGAACCAAGGGCCACUGCUCUCUAAUAACAGACCAGAGCGAUUGCUAACACGCCGAGCAAGGAGGGGGCGCAUGCGUGGCUCACUGAGCACCAGCCUCCCAGCACAGCUUGCAGGUCCUGAAUCUUCCUCCCUAGGAAAGUAAGGGCUGGCUACGCUGGAGGAGGGCUGUUUGUCAGGAAGGAGGCCUCCAGGGGAAAGCCAGCCUCUCAGAUGGGAGGUUUUCUCAUCUGACUUUUAGGAAAGUUAAGUUUUCUCCCGAAAAAACACAGAUCUUUGUCAUUUCUUCCUCGGCUUGAGAAUUUCUUCCAAUCUGUGAUUCUGAGAACCACGGUGGGCAUCUGCGGCCUGUGUCAGCUACGGCGUCACCAGGACUGCUCCAGGGGGGUUAAUUGCAUCUAAGCGUUGGAAAGCGACUCUCUAAUUAAACUUUGAAACGGAAUGGCAAAAUCGCUGGGUGACAGACUGUCUGUGGGAGGGUCCCCUGAGGUGCUCUUCGGUUGUUGCUAAUCAUCUUCUGGGCCCAGGCUGUGCCUGUGUGCGGCGGGGCCCGUGUUCAGACCUCGCUGUGCAGAACUCUGGAUUCCCUUGGAGGUUUGUCAGACAGGCCCCCCGCGGUGCUCUAUGCCCUGCCUGAACCCCACAGUUGGGCCUGGAUAUCUUGGAAGACUUUCACUGCUUGUCUUCGGCUCUCUGAUUUCUAUUUAAAAAUCAAAAGGUUAUUUCUAUACUUAGAACUGUGACAUCAAAAAAAUUCGAAUGUUGGAAGUUAAUUCUAAAUGUUUGUGAGUAUUUCCCAAAGAACUCGAGUUUGAGACCAUUGGCACCGGCUAUAAAAUCCCCUCACGCUGAACUCCUCAGAUUUACUCAGUACUCCAAGCCAGGGACCCACCAGACAGUUCGGGGGGAUGCUGAGUGGGUCUACAAAGCACCAUGCGGUGAAGCUUAGUGGUCAGGCAUGUCAAUGGACACCUCACAACUUCCAGAACAUCCCCUUUGCCCUUUGCCCUUUACCCCUCCCAUUCCUUCGCAUGGAGACUGGCAUCUCAUGGUGAAGUGGCUUCCCGAACCCCUCUAAGGGGUUCCUCUAAGAUUUCCUGAUGUCUGUAAAAGAUUUAGAUUAACUGGAUUGAGGUGGGACGAUCUGCCCUAAGUGUGGGCAGCCCCGUUUUGUGGACUGGGGUCCUGGACUGCCAGCGUUCGCUGCACUCACUGGGCUUCCUGACCACAGAGGUUCUGCCUCAGGCACUCGCUGCUGUUCUGUUCCCACCUUGAUGCACGGUGUCCCCUCAAACUGCAGGCCAAUGUAAGUCUUCCUCCUUUAGGUUGCUUCCUGUGUACUUUGUGACAGUAAUGAGUAAGUAAUAGCCCUCGUUUUUUUUCCCCCCCCUGUGGCUUAUGGUGGGUUAAACACAAAAAAAAAUAGGCUCUGACAUUGGUGCCACCAACAAGGGACCACACGUUCAAAUACAUGAGCCUGUUGGGGGCAUUUCUCCUUCACAUUACAAGCACCCAUCACCAUGUGCCAGGGUGUGGAGAUGAUCAGAUUGGAUAAGAAGGCUGCUUCUGCAGUCUGCACGUUGGGAGGGGUCCUCUAAGCAGUCAAGGCAAAUUCAGAUCUGGUUGAGGACGGUCACUGUGUGACAGAGAUUGCAAUGCAGGUGGCUGGGCCCGAAGCUUGUAGACCCCUGAGAAAGGCCAGGGAGAGCUCUUUCUGAGUGGAGAGGUUUAUGGGCAGCUUGGAGUGCAGCUUCGCUCCUGUGGGCUCUUUUGUCUUUAUCUCCAUCCUCCCAGAAUUGCCUCGUUGGGGCUUUAAUAGACGUCUGUAGCAGAGGUCACCCAAGGUGUCUGAAGAGCCACCCCAGGAAUAGAACAGCAUUGUUGUAUUCAGUAACCAUUGAGACUGUAACUCGUUACCCUGCUCAGUGCCAUUUACCCACGAUGUUCCUGUGGCAAAUGCAUCCUAGGGCACUGGGCCAAGAAAACUGGGUCCUCUUCACACCCGCUUGGAUCCUAGCUCCAGAGAGUAAGAACACCGUGACCUGCUGUCCUGUCCCAAGGACUCUGGUGGGAGGGAGCUCCAGGAGAGACUGGAACUUGGUUCUCUCUGUAGCAUCACCUGUAUCAUCGCCCCCAAAGCUGGAUCUAAGUGAACCUUAUUUGUGUGAGGUUUUAUUCCCCACCCUUUUAAUUGUAAGCUGUUCUUUUGGAAAAGAAAGUGGGGGGAGGGGAGUGGUUAUGUCUGUCAAUAUGUGGUUUAGAAGAGAUGAUGGCAGCCCUAAAUAAAGUUGG